This 1329-nucleotide ribosomal RNA is filed under the name Staphylococcus epidermidis. Its description in RNAcentral is "bacterial SSU rRNA". It matches the Rfam family "Bacterial small subunit ribosomal RNA", at positions 68 to 1378 of the family's 1533-position model. The record is from RNAcentral. Lineage: Bacteria; Bacillati; Bacillota; Bacilli; Caryophanales; Staphylococcaceae.
GACAGACGAGGAGCUUGCUCCUCUGACGUUAGCGGCGGACGGGUGAGUAACACGUGGAUAACCUACCUAUAAGACUGGGAUAACUUCGGGAAACCGGAGCUAAUACCGGAUAAUAUAUUGAACCGCAUGGUUCAAUAGUGAAAGACGGUUUUGCUGUCACUUAUAGAUGGAUCCGCGCCGCAUUAGCUAGUUGGUAAGGUAACGGCUUACCAAGGCAACGAUGCGUAGCCGACCUGAGAGGGUGAUCGGCCACACUGGAACUGAGACACGGUCCAGACUCCUACGGGAGGCAGCAGUAGGGAAUCUUCCGCAAUGGGCGAAAGCCUGACGGAGCAACGCCGCGUGAGUGAUGAAGGUCUUCGGAUCGUAAAACUCUGUUAUUAGGGAAGAACAAAUGUGUAAGUAACUAUGCACGUCUUGACGGUACCUAAUCAGAAAGCCACGGCUAACUACGUGCCAGCAGCCGCGGUAAUACGUAGGUGGCAAGCGUUAUCCGGAAUUAUUGGGCGUAAAGCGCGCGUAGGCGGUUUUUUAAGUCUGAUGUGAAAGCCCACGGCUCAACCGUGGAGGGUCAUUGGAAACUGGAAAACUUGAGUGCAGAAGAGGAAAGUGGAAUUCCAUGUGUAGCGGUGAAAUGCGCAGAGAUAUGGAGGAACACCAGUGGCGAAGGCGACUUUCUGGUCUGUAACUGACGCUGAUGUGCGAAAGCGUGGGGAUCAAACAGGAUUAGAUACCCUGGUAGUCCACGCCGUAAACGAUGAGUGCUAAGUGUUAGGGGGUUUCCGCCCCUUAGUGCUGCAGCUAACGCAUUAAGCACUCCGCCUGGGGAGUACGACCGCAAGGUUGAAACUCAAAGGAAUUGACGGGGACCCGCACAAGCGGUGGAGCAUGUGGUUUAAUUCGAAGCAACGCGAAGAACCUUACCAAAUCUUGACAUCCUCUGACCCCUCUAGAGAUAGAGUUUUCCCCUUCGGGGGACAGAGUGACAGGUGGUGCAUGGUUGUCGUCAGCUCGUGUCGUGAGAUGUUGGGUUAAGUCCCGCAACGAGCGCAACCCUUAAGCUUAGUUGCCAUCAUUAAGUUGGGCACUCUAAGUUGACUGCCGGUGACAAACCGGAGGAAGGUGGGGAUGACGUCAAAUCAUCAUGCCCCUUAUGAUUUGGGCUACACACGUGCUACAAUGGACAAUACAAAGGGCAGCGAAACCGCGAGGUCAAAGCAAAUCCCAUAAAGUUGUUCUCAGUUCGGAUUGUAGUCUGCAACUCGACUAUAUGAAGCUGGAAUCGCUAGUAAUCGUAGAUCAGCAUGCUACGGUGAAUACGUUCCCGGG